RNAcentral lists this ribosomal RNA (253 nucleotides) under uncultured bacterium. RNAcentral's name for it is "partial 16S ribosomal RNA". It matches the Rfam family "Bacterial small subunit ribosomal RNA", at positions 524 to 776 of the family's 1533-position model. The record is from RNAcentral.
UACGGAGGGUGCAAGCGUUGUCCGGAUUUAUUGGGUUUAAAGGGUGCGUAGGCGGCCCGUUAAGUCAGCGGUGAAAUCCCAGGGCUCAACCCUGGAACUGCCGUUGAUACUGGCGGGCUUGAGUUCGGUCGAGGCGGGCGGAACUGGCGGUGUAGCGGUGAAAUGCUUAGAUACCGCCAAGAACCCCGAUUGCGUAGGCAGCUCGCUGUGCCGAAACUGACGCUGAGGCACGAAAGCGUGGGGAGCGAACAGG